Mauremys mutica (yellowpond turtle) is the source of this 499-nucleotide long non-coding RNA. RefSeq lists it as uncharacterized. The record is from RefSeq and is a predicted model, not a curated record. The transcript has 4 exons. NCBI's taxonomy places the organism in Eukaryota, Metazoa, Chordata, Testudines, Geoemydidae.
GGAAAUCCUUCUAAGCAGACAUGAACAGUCCUCAGCUUUCUGCCUCCCACAUAACUGCCUUACCAAGGGAAAAGAAGUCACGUGUCAGUGUCUACUGCCUUCAUGUCAUGGAAAGCGAGCGAGAGCGAUGGGACCUCAAGAACUACUGAUGCCAAGGAAAAGCCGUCCUACUGGGAGUGGAACAGUCGCCACUCUCAAUGAGAUAACUGUCUGUUUUGGUGAUUGCUCUGCUCACGGCCCACCUUGCUCCUGUUUGAAGAGGAAUCAUCCAGGAGCCUUCGAUGGGUGAGAAUAUGCAUAAGUGGACCUGAGCAGCCUGGACAUCCUUCUAAGGAGACAUGAAUAGUUGUCAUCUUUCUGCCUUCUGCGUAACUGGCUGUGAGUAAAUGUACCAAGAGAAAAGGAGUCACGCGUCAGUCUACUGUCCUCACACAAUGGAAAGGGAGCAAGAGUGACAAGACCACGAGCAUUGUUGAUGCGAUGCAAAAGCCGUCCAUCU